This 364-nucleotide ribosomal RNA is filed under the name Acinetobacter endosymbiont of Anopheles claviger. RNAcentral's name for it is "bacterial SSU rRNA". It matches the Rfam family "Bacterial small subunit ribosomal RNA", at positions 482 to 845 of the family's 1533-position model. Lineage: Bacteria; Pseudomonadati; Pseudomonadota; Gammaproteobacteria; Moraxellales; Moraxellaceae. The record is from RNAcentral.
CAGAAUAAGCACCGGCUAACUCUGUGCCAGCAGCCGCGGUAAUACAGAGGGUGCGAGCGUUAAUCGGAUUUACUGGGCGUAAAGCGUACGUAGGCGGCUUUUUAAGUCGGAUGUGAAAUCCCUGAGCUUAACUUAGGAAUUGCAUUCGAUACUGGGAAGCUAGAGUAUGGGAGAGGAUGGUAGAAUUCCAGGUGUAGCGGUGAAAUGCGUAGAGAUCUGGAGGAAUACCGAUGGCGAAGGCAGCCAUCUGGCCUAAUACUGACGCUGAGGUACGAAAGCAUGGGGAGCAAACAGGAUUAGAUACCCUGGUAGUCCAUGCCGUAAACGAUGUCUACUAGCCGUUGGGGCCUUUGAGGCUUUAGUG